RNAcentral lists this ribosomal RNA (529 nucleotides) under uncultured bacterium. Its description in RNAcentral is "partial 16S ribosomal RNA". The record is from RNAcentral.
GGAGUUAGCCGGUGCUUCUUCUGCGAGUAACGUCACAGAUGUAAGGUAUUAACUUACACCCUUUCCUCCUCGCUGAAAGUGCUUUACAACCCGAAGGCCUUCUUCACACACGCGGCAUGGCUGCAUCAGGGUUUCCCCCAUUGUGCAAUAUUCCCCACUGCUGCCUCCCGUAGGAGUCUGGGCCGUGUCUCAGUCCCAGUGUGGCUGAUCAUCCUCUCAGACCAGCUAGGGAUCGUCGCCUAGGUGAGCCUUUACCUCACCUACUAGCUAAUCCCACCUGGGCUUAUCCAUCAGCGCAAGGCCCGAAGGUCCCCUGCUUUCCCCCGUAGGGCGUAUGCGGUAUUAGCAGUCGUUUCCAACUGUUAUCCCCCACAAAUGGGCAAAUUCCCAGGCAUUACUCACCCGUCCGCCGCUCGUCAUCUUCAAAAGCAAGCUUUUGAAAUGUUACCGCUCGACUUGCAUGUGUUAGGCCUGCCGCCAGCGUUCAAUCUGAGCCAGANNAACACUGACANAGCGGCGNGCGAGACGC